GGGAGCCGUAGGGGAGCCGUGGGCGCUGCCCCGCGGGGGGCCCUCGCCGCGGGUCUGUGUCAGAGGACGUGGGCUCGGAAACCUCCGUGGCCCACUCCCACCUGUCAGAACGAGAACGGAGGUUGCGCUUUGCACCCAUCACCGGAGGGGCAGGUUUGGGUCUCUGAUCUCCAGACUGUUUGCAAUGCCUGCGAGCUGGAGGUGGUGAGCUGCUCAGCUGGUUGCUAAUGAAGCAUGCUGUGGAGCCUACCACACCGCAGGAGGAUUUCAUAAGCUUGGCACCUGUUCCAGAUGAAUGGAGUUGAUGGCAUGGGCUGGAAAUGUGUCUAUCUUCAGCCCAGCUUGAAAUGUCUGAGGAUUAUCUCUGUAAAUUGUGGAUUCUCACAAGUGCAGUGAGCAAAGCUCUGCUGGGUCCAGGUGUCCUGCAGAUUUAGAGUAAAUCUCUACUUUCGGGCCAUGUAUUUGCUGCCAUGUACACCAGCCAAGGCCAAUAGCCCUUCUGAGGAGCCGAUCACCAUUCCCCUGUAAAGAAUCAGUGAAGCAGAAUUUAGGUCUUUUAAAACUCCAGAAAAAGCUUUUAUUCAUAAACAAGGAACAAGGUUUGUUCUAGGGAGAUUGCAGAACAUUCCCAAAGAGCUCUCACAGACAUCUGGUCAAGCUGCAACAGGUAUAAACCAUACUAAACUGAAUUAAUUUGUCAGGUAUAGCAGAUAUGGCUGUCCUUCCCUUUCUUUGUAUCUUUUUCCUUAACCUCACCAAAUGAUUGCCUGAUUCAAGCUGAAAUCUUCCAGACUGUUUGAUUUAAAAAAUUGUGGUUUGGGGUUUUUUUUUCUGGUUUAAUUUGAACCAAGGCCCCAACAAAUUGUUUCUCUUUUAUGCAGAAAUCACAUUUUGCCUUUAAAGUAUGCAGGGAUAGAUUCAUUAGGGAAUCAGUGUAGAACCACUUUCAGAGCUGAAGAGUGGUUGAUGAGCCUUGUCCGUGCAGGCCCAGUCACCCAGAGCUUGGGGCACUUAUUUGGGCAGGAAAUGCGGAGAUUCCAGCCACAUGAGCAGAGGUUUGAAGUAAGAUCCAACAUGCCUGGGAAGAUCAUCCUUACUCCUGAGCUGUGGCAGGUUUGGGGGAAAUCUUUCCUGGCCAUAUAGUUUCAUGUUGUAUCAGGUACUUCAGAUACUUCACUAUUCAUUGGAGCAAGAACAAUGACAAUAAUGUUAAUUAUUUUAAAUAAUUUAGUUGCUUAGAAAAUGAAUUUAUCUUAUUCCAAUGAUUCUGUUAAUCAUCUGUUAAACUCUGAUUGCAUAGAAGUCUCUCUUGCUGAUGUGAGACUAUGGUAUGGAUACCUUCUGCAGAACUGAGGAUCAUCACUGGGAAACAAAGUCACCCCAGUCUCAGUGUACAGUCAGUGGAGAGACAACCUUAGAACCCUUGCCAGGAGCCUAGGGCAACUGUACACCUAAUUUGGGUUUUUAAAAUUAGCUGUGGAGAAAUUCAGACCUUCGUGCAAGACAGUGGCAUUCUGCUCAGGCUCAUGGUGCUGCAAUGUGGUCUGCUGUCACUUCGAUGCUGACAAAAUGAUGCUGUAUCCAAACAUGCUGCAGUAGUGUCACAGCCUCACAUGUAAGUAUCAUGAGACCCCUGCUCACAAGUUCUUCCUGCUAAACACACUGAAAAAUGUUGCAUGCUAGAAGAAGGCAGGUUCAUUACUGAAAAGUUUAUUGCACCUUAAAGCCAUUCGCAGGAUGAGUUACUGGAGUUUAAUUCUUCGGCCCUUUGACGAAGCCCUGCAGGACCUUCAGCUGUCGUGAGUUCCCCAGCCAGGGAGCUUCCUGAGACUGAAAAAUAAACUGGCAAAGGUUUGGAGGUUUGCUAUGGAGCAGGACCAAGAAGUUUGAACUGAAAUCUCAGCUCAAACAGUCAAACUAAGCCUCUUGACUGUGCUAAAUAGGAAUCUUUUUUUUUUUUUUUUUUUUUUUUUGUGAGAUUUCUGGGUCCACUGCAGUCUGUUGCAACCAAGGAAGGAUGCCUGGAGGAGGAGAGAGAAGCUACCCAAAUUUUUUUACAAAACACAGGUAAUGGUUCUUUUCUGACUCGAGUUUGGGCCAAGGUGGGUUCUCGCAGGCCAGUUGACACCACAGGGAAGGUGUGCUCCAGGGGCACCGGGGAGAGAUGGUGGGUGCCCAUCCGAGCACGCUGCCCAGUGGGACCAGCAAAGCCACAAGCCUGUGUCCAUACCCUUGGUGGGGCCAAGUUACCCCACUAGUAAUGGCCCAUUCAAACCUGGGAGACCUCCUCUCCUCCCAGCUUGUCCUCCUGCCUCACAGCGAUUCCCACACCCCGCUAGCAUCUGCUUACCCAUCCUUUCCUGCCCAGGGGGGCCCUCGCCAGCCCCCCAGCCUUUCCCUUUGAAAGCCAGGUGCUCAUGGUGGCCGUGCCGCUCAUUCUUGCCGAGCCUCCCCUGCUCUUUGUUUUCGUUGGUGAACGCUGCUCACAUCUCCAUGAUUGAUUGUGUUUGAGUUUGAUUGUGGAGUGUCCUGGGAUGUUUGCAUGAGAGGUGCUACAUAAGCAUAAUUUGUGCUGUAUUUUCUUUGCCUAAUAGGAGCUUAAGCUUGGAGUUUAAGAUAGUUUUGGCCCUUUGCUGAGACACUGUCCGUCAGCCUCAGCGCUUUGAGCUUUGCAGCCUUCUCUAUUCACUGUCAGCUUGAAAAAAAAAUUGUGCUUCAUUCCCUUGUGUCAGUGAUGCCUUUGAAAUGCAGCCUGGGGCAGAGGCGUAGCAGCCUUCCCCUCACACUGGCCUAGAUCUUUGCUGCCUGUCUCUGAUGGGGAGGGAUGCUCUUCCUAUGAGUCCUGGUCUUGUCAUCGGGCUGGGCCAGAACCAAGGUUAAGUCUCGCUCCUGUGAGUGGAUGCUGCGUUAUUUACAGCAGAGAUGCUGAGUUGAGAGACAGAAGGGAGACGAUGGUAUCUCACCACCUGUGUGGCUGCCCAAACAAAUGGGAAAGGUCUUUCCCAGUCCUGAAACCCCAAGAAUUUUGGAAAAAGGUGUGGAAAUUAACCUGAGGGAAUUUGUACAGACUGAACCAUUGCUGGACCCAGCCUGAAAACCUCUGCAGGUCACACAUUUCCCCUCCAGCUCUCCUCAAAUGAAUAGGAAGGGUAUGAUCUGAGCUGCAGGGAAUUUUCAGCAUAUUUGGUGGUUAUAUCCAAAGAUCAAAAUAUUUUGGGAUGGGGGCAAAGCAUAAGAAAGAACCAAUUCAGUUCUCAGCAGCGCAAACCUUAUUAAUGCUACAAAUUAAUACCUACUGCUACAAAAUAUUUACAUUUCUUGUUCCACACAGCCAGAUUGCAGCAGAGCAGACUAAUGAUGGGUUUUGAUUUACAGCAUAGAACGAUCUUGUGAUGAGCAUGGACUCUGAGGAGCUGGGUUUCAUUUGUGGGCCAUAGGCAAGUCCCUUAACUUUUCUCUGUAUCCCCAUACCCUGAGCAAGAUACUGGAGAGGUUCUGUUCUCCUCCUUGCUAAAUUUCUUUCAGAGAUAAUUGUGAGGAUGCAGAGGGAUACGAUAAUGGUCUGAGGAGCUUAAAAAUAACCAGAGUUCAAAGAGGUAAAAUAGUUCCUCUUCCUACAAUACAAAUUAAACAGCCUAUUAGCAGAUGAAGUGGGGAUGAGAUUACACAUGAAAAAAAAUAUAAUUCAUGUGAUUAAGUGUACAUGCGCUUGGGCAUAAAAUGGUCUUAAUUAGUCAUGUUUAUCUAUAAUUACCUGACUUCCCUGAGCAGCUGUGGUGGCUGUGUGUGCAGUUCCUCACUGCAACAUUCCCCUUUUUGCGCACAGCAUAUAAUUCAUGCUUUCUGUGUUUGCCAGAGAAAAUCCUCACCCCCCAACACGUGCAUAUUUGAAUUAAUUUGAUUCUUGCUGUGUUGUCUUUCAGGCAUAGCUGCUGGGUAGGUUUUUCCCUGCAGGCUGAGUGGGCAGUGCUCUCCGAGCAGCACGGUUACUGGGAAGGAACUCCUGCCCAGUCCGAUUAACCUUUGUUGGCCAUGUACUAAAAGCGUUAUUUGUUGUUUCCAUUUAUUCCCUUUCUAUAAUGAUUAUCAAUCAUAGAUUAAACAUCAUGCAAAACUCUCAGUGAUGAUUUCCACGAAACCCAUUGCUGGGUGGCCCUUGAGUUACUGUACCAAAACAUAUCAAUUUUUUUUUUUUUAGACGAAGAAACUACUGUUUAUUGGAACUGAUCAAAUAUGGGAAGGAAAUGGUCUGUGCUUAUUAAUUCAAAUUCAGAAAUAUGAACCUUUCAAACUUUACUGGUACAUUUUUAGCUCAUAUGUUUGCAGGAGAGAAUCAGAGUCGUAUAUAUUCAGGUGUAAAAUUUGGAAGUGACUUUGUGUUGAUUAGCUGCAGGGACCACAGUUAAUAGUCCUGGUUUCUUGACUGGGUAACUGGUACAGCCAGUCACAUAACAUGAGCUGUGGCUAUUUCGGUCAAAUAUAUAAUUACAAAUAUUAAGUGUAAAACUAGAAAAUAUACAUACAUAAUAUUUAAUCUGUGCUUUAAUGGCUUGGUUAAUUAUGUAAGUGUUGGCUGGAGAUGUGAUUUGAAUUUGUCCUGACUAUUGACCAUUGAAAUGCUCUGUAGAUAGAAAAUAAUAGUUACAAAAGAUGUUCAAAGUGUAUGCUGAAUAGCCAAUGCACUCAAGAUUGUCACAGUCUUAAUCUGUAUGUUUAAUAUAACAAAUUAUUUUUUUGCAAA
Aquila chrysaetos chrysaetos is the source of this 4741-nucleotide long non-coding RNA. RefSeq lists it as uncharacterized. NCBI's taxonomy places the organism in Eukaryota, Metazoa, Chordata, Aves, Accipitriformes, Accipitridae. The record is from RefSeq and is a predicted model, not a curated record. The transcript is spliced from 2 exons.